AGCAGCCGCGGUAAUUCCAGCUCCAAUAGCGUAUAUUAAAGUUGUUGCAGUUAAAAAGUUCGUAGUUGAAUUUCAGGCCUGGCUGGACGGUCCGCCCUUCGGGUGAGUACUGUCUGUGGUCGGGUCCUACCUUCUGGCGAAGCGUCAUGGCCUUAACCGGCCGUGGCGGGGAACCAGGACUUUUACUGUGAAAAAAUUAGAGUGUUCAAAGCAGGCAAUCGCUUGGAUACAUUAGCAUGGAAUAAUGGAAUAGGACAAUGGUUCUAUUUGUUGGUUUCUAAGACCGUUGUAAUGAUUAAUAGGGAUAGUUGGGGGCAUUAGUAUUCAAUUGUCAGAGGUGAAAUUCUUGGAUUUAUUGAAGACUAACUACUGCGAAAGCAUUUGCCAAGGAUGUUUUCAUUAAUCAAGAACGAAAGUUAGGGGAUCGAAGACGAUCAGAUACCGUCGUAGUCUUAACCAUAAACUAUGCCGACUAGGAAUCGGGCGAUGUUGAAAAAUGACGCGCUCGGCGCCGUCAUGG
RNAcentral lists this ribosomal RNA (520 nucleotides) under uncultured Paraglomus. RNAcentral describes it as "SSU rRNA". It matches the Rfam family "Eukaryotic small subunit ribosomal RNA", at positions 569 to 1094 of the family's 1831-position model. The record is from RNAcentral. Lineage: Eukaryota; Fungi; Glomeromycota; Glomeromycetes; Paraglomerales; Paraglomeraceae.